RNAcentral lists this ribosomal RNA (88 nucleotides) under Yersinia sp. Marseille-Q3913. The record is from RNAcentral. Lineage: Bacteria; Pseudomonadati; Pseudomonadota; Gammaproteobacteria; Enterobacterales; Yersiniaceae.
CCUGGCGGCCAUAGCGCGGUGGACCCACCUGAUCCCAUGCCGAACUCAGAAGUGAAACGCCGUAGCGCCGAUGGUAGUGUGGGGUCUC